This 729-nucleotide ribosomal RNA is filed under the name uncultured Planctomycetota bacterium. Its description in RNAcentral is "bacterial SSU rRNA". It matches the Rfam family "Bacterial small subunit ribosomal RNA", at positions 8 to 754 of the family's 1533-position model. The record is from RNAcentral. Lineage: Bacteria; Pseudomonadati; Planctomycetota.
AGAGUUUGAUCCUGGCUCAGAAUGAACGUUGGCGGCGUGGAUUAGGCAUGCAAGUCGUACGGGCCGCAAGGCCAGUGGCGCAAGGGUGAGUAAGGCGACGGCAACCAACCCCGUGACUGGGUAUAGCCGUGGGAAACCGCGGGUAAUCCCCAGCGACGUCCGUGGGAGGCAUCUCCCGUGGACCAAAGCCCCGGCGUCGCGGGACGGGCCGUCGUGGUAUUAGCUUGUUGGCGGGGUGACGGCCCACCAAGGCUGUGAUGCCUACCGGGCGUGCGAGCGUGGCCCGGCACACUGGGACUGAGACACUGCCCAGACUCCUACGGGAGGCUGCAGUCGAGAAUCUUCGGCAAUGGGCGCAAGCCUGACCGAGCGACGCCGCGUGGAGGACGAAGGCCUUCGGGUUGUAAACUCCUGUCGAGGGGGAAGAAGGCCGGGCGACCGGCUUGACUUAUCCCUGGAGGAAGCACGGGCUAAGUUCGUGCCAGCAGCCGCGGUAAGACGAACCGUGCGAACGUUAUUCGGAAUCACUGGGCUUAAAGCGCGUGUAGGCGGGACGGCACGUCGGCCGCUGAAAUCCCCCGGCUCAACCGGGGAACGGGCGCCGAUACGACCGCCCUGGAGGGACGUAGGGGGACCUGGAACUUCCGGUGGAGCGGUGAAAUGCGUUGAGAUCGGAAGGAACGCCCGUGGCGAAAGCGAGGUCCUGGACGUUUUCUGACGCUGAGACGC